This 440-nucleotide ribosomal RNA is filed under the name uncultured bacterium. Its description in RNAcentral is "partial 16S ribosomal RNA". It matches the Rfam family "Bacterial small subunit ribosomal RNA", at positions 338 to 794 of the family's 1533-position model. The record is from RNAcentral.
CCUACGGGAGGCAGCAGGAGGGAAUCUUGCACAAUGGGCGAAAGCCAGAUGCAGCGACGCCGCGUGGGCGAUGAAGGCCUUCGGGUUGUAAAGCCCUUUUCCGAGGGAAGAGCAAGGACGGUACCUCGGGAAUAAGCCACGGCUAACUACGUGCCAGCAGCCGCGGUAAGACGUAGGUGGCGAGCGUUAUCCGGAUUCAUUGGGCGUAAAGCGCGUGCAGGUGGUUCUGUAAGUCGGGUGUGAAAGCCCCGGGCCCAACCGGGGGAGGGCAUUCGAUACUGCAGGGCUUGAGGUCAGAAGAGGGGAGCGGAAUUCCCGGGGUAGCGGUGAAAUGCGUAGAGAUCGGGAGGAACACCAGUGGCGAAAGCGGCUCCCGGGUCUGCACCUGACACUGAGACGCGAAAGCGGGGGGAGCGAUCGGGAUUAGAUACCCCUGUAGU